AUUGAACGCUGGCGGAAUGCUUUACACAUGCAAGUCGAACGGCAGCACGAGAGCUUGCUCUUGGUGGCGAGUGGCGAACGGGUGAGUAAUAUAUCGGAACGUGCCCAGUCGUGGGGGAUAACGUAGCGAAAGCUGUGCUAAUACCGCAUACGAUCUGCGGAUGAAAGCGGGGGACCUUAGGGCCUCGCGCGAAUUGGAGCGGCCGAUGUCAGAUUAGGUAGUUGGUGGGGUAAAGGCCCACCAAGCCAACGAUCUGUAGCUGGUCUGAGAGGACGACCAGCACACUGGGACUGAGACAACGGCCCAGA
RNAcentral lists this ribosomal RNA (308 nucleotides) under uncultured bacterium. RNAcentral's name for it is "bacterial SSU rRNA". It matches the Rfam family "Bacterial small subunit ribosomal RNA", at positions 30 to 335 of the family's 1533-position model. The record is from RNAcentral.